AGAUCAAGAAAGGAGGAAUUCGGACCUAGAUCGAGGCAAAAACAAAGUGCUCGAUUGAUCGACUAAUAUCGUCAUUUUUACGUUUGAGUGUCAUAAAGCUAGCUUGGAUCCGGGGAUCGUCAGCGACUCAUUCACACUAUCGGACAUCUAUUUUGGUACCAUUUUGAGAGUUGUAUAUAUAGUAUAUGGCAUGUAUAGGCUAGAAGUAUUUUGGUAUACUUUGUGAUGUGAAUAUCUAGCCAUGAGAUUUGGCUUAUAAAUAUUGGUAUGUAUGGCCUUUUAAUUUGGCCUAAAUGGUGUAUUUGAUAGGUAAGUCAUAUGAUGUAUAUAAUGUUCAUGUGAUGGUUUGAGUAUGGAAUGAUGAAUUGGUAAUUUUGUGAUAUGAAGUAUAUGAUAAAGUGA
This is a long non-coding RNA of Gossypium arboreum, 402 nucleotides long. RefSeq lists it as uncharacterized. NCBI's taxonomy places the organism in Eukaryota, Viridiplantae, Streptophyta, Magnoliopsida, Malvales, Malvaceae. The transcript is spliced from 2 exons. The record is from RefSeq and is a predicted model, not a curated record.